This is a long non-coding RNA of Canis lupus familiaris (dog), 351 nucleotides long. RefSeq lists it as uncharacterized. The record is from RefSeq and is a predicted model, not a curated record. NCBI's taxonomy places the organism in Eukaryota, Metazoa, Chordata, Mammalia, Carnivora, Canidae. The transcript has 3 exons.
ACAAGAGCAGCCUGGACACACAGCCUUUCCCAGGACAGACAAUGCCAUUCAAGCAAAGAGCUUCCAGCCACUUGGCAAGCAUUCCAAAGGGAAGAUUCUCUCUAAACAAAACUUGAAGAGCAAAUUUCCUGGGAGUGAGCAGAGGGGAACUUCUGUGGGAGGAGCUGAAAGAGCUCCAAAGAGAGGACGGAAAAUAAAGCAGUCCCAUUCAUGAUUUUUAAAUACUGAAAAGUGAAGAAACAGAGACCGUCCUGCAGAUGUCAGUUACUGAUGAAGCUAGGAGGGGUACUUGAAUCCUGAACCUAAUGUUGACCCAAAACUCCCUUGAUUCCUUUUUACCUCUAGCUAAUA